AAUUACAAGUUAGCUGUAGCUCGUAGCUUAACAGAAAACGCAUGCUAACCAAUUUCCUUAUAGCCAUUAUAGCCAAAAACAGGGCAAAUUUCAUUUUACCGACAGAUAUAUCAUAUACCUGAUGUACAAGCCUCCAGAAAUAGCUAAUGGUUAUAAGGGACAGAGAUGAGAGUCAACACUUACAGAGAACACGACGAUUCAACAAUGUGGCUGCUGACUUCGGCCGAGAACCGGGGUUACACCGUGGACUGGUCUUGUCAAGAAUUUCAACAUUCCAAGAAGCAUUCCGGCUCUCAACCUCACAUGACUGCAAGCUCAGAAACUGGCCCACUUUCCAACUAAAUACUUACGGACUUGGAGGUCCACCUGCUGUGCAGUGCUGAUGCCGCACUUUCUAAUUCCAGAUUGAUUGGAAUUGGCUGCAAGAUUGAAAACAUAAACAGCGCCCCCCCCCCCUCCCCCCCGCCCCCUCCCCCAGAAGUGUUGGAGCGAUCAUGUCCAUCCAAAAGAUGAACAGGAGACCAAACAGCAUCGUUUCAGCUCCUAUUCCCAGCGGCCCCGCCUCCACCCUCCAAGAGACUGCACGGCUGACGAAAGGGUUCACUCCAUUCAUGCCGUUGUUCUAUGGAACCAGCGCACCAAUGCCUGUUUGCAGGAAGGAGAUGAGGAAAAGCAAAAUAUCGAGCGGAUUUUGAUGAGCAGACUUCUCUUUUGGACGACCUUUCGCUGACUCUUGACUAAACAAGGCUGCGGCCCACCAGGAGACACGGGGGCGUCUUGCUGGAGGACAUUUCCACAUAGAAGUCACUGACCAAUCCUGUCCUGACGGAGGGAUGGAUGGAGGGAUGGAAGGAAGUGAAGUCCUGCAGUGGAUUCAAGGACGCCCUCACAGUCCGUGAUGUUGUUGUUGUCUUUGUGAGCGUGCGUCCUCACGGUGGGCCUCGGCAAACAUCUGGCACCCGCUCAUGACAACAAACAGCCACUUUGGAAAGGUACCGCCAUUGAAAUCACUUUGGGCUUUGCUUUCCCUGUCGGCGUGGAGGCUUUUCCUGACACGUCAACCCAAAUGACCUCUUCCAGAGUCAUUCUUUACAUUUUCAUUACAUUUUCAUUUAAUUUCAUUUGGAUUUUAGUCCGUUUUAUAUAUAUUUUAAUGCAAUUACUGGCCAUUUUUAGCUCAAAUCAAUUUAAUGACAAAUUGCAUUUAAUGCGUAGUAUUUCAAUACAUUCAUUCAUUCAUUCAUUUUCUACCGCUUUUUCCUCACGAGGGUCGCGGGGGUGCUGGAGCCUAUCCCAGCUGUCUUCGGGCGAGAGGCGGGGUACACCCUGGACUGGUCGCCAGCCAAUCACAGGGCACAUAUAGGCAAACUAUUUCAAUACAAUACUUGUAAUAUUUUAUUUUAUAUAUGUAAUAUUUUUUAUAUAUACAUAUAUAAUAUAAAUAUAUAUAAUUUAAUUUUUUAUAACAGAAUAUUUCUAUAUUUUUUUCUAUUUGUAAUAAAUAUUUUUUAAAUGUUCAUCGCAAGUGUAAAAAGAAAUGAACCCCCCACUUUGUUAUCCAAUUAUGCAACUUCAUCAUUGAGGGGAGAAUCUAAAAGGCCGCCUUCCCUCCUCCCUCCUCUCAGGACCUCCUCG
Non-coding RNA from Doryrhamphus excisus (bluestripe pipefish), 1635 nucleotides. NCBI's taxonomy places the organism in Eukaryota, Metazoa, Chordata, Actinopteri, Syngnathiformes, Syngnathidae. The record is from RefSeq and is a predicted model, not a curated record.